GAGUGGAGAUGAAGUUAGAUGGUCGAGAUGUAGCUGAUAACAGGGAAAUCAGCGUUGCAGAACAAGUGGAUUAUCUGCUCAAACAAGCAACAAGUGUAGAUAAUCUUUGCAACAUGUAUGAGGGUUGGACACCUUGGAUUUGAGCUGUUGAACACUAUUCUUUUUCCAACUCCCGAACUCCUUUCAUGAUAUUCUGUGAUAACAUUGAAGAAGCUCUGAGGUAAACUGGAGCUUAGUUUCCUUAGCCACAAGAGCCAUGUUGGAACUUUGGCUUCCUCAUUUCAAGAGACGUGGCAAUUGACAAGCAAUUAUAGUUUUCUGAUGCAGUCUAUGCAGCGAAUUUGAGGGUCCAACUUGAAGGCUGUAGCACUUUGAUCAUGGUUCAAGCACAGCUGAAAGACAAUUUAAUGUUGCUCCAAAGGGUAACAAUCUCCCUCCAUGUCCACUACCUGGCAAUAACAACUUCAAAAUAUCAUUUGGUACGAUGAAAAUCUGGAAGUCAAGCUGUGGAUGCUCUGAAGGAUUCCUUGGCAUACAUCAAUGAUUACAGUCGAACUGUGUGGAAUGAUCUUCGAGCAUUUUAGGUCUCAGUCUAUCGGUUGCUUCGUAUUUGAUGCUGACGAAGCAAUGCGCACUUCCAACAGCUGCUUAUAGACUUGAUGAAGGGUGGCUAAUGUCAUUUGUAUGUCAUCCAAAACAUGACUUUUGCCUCAGGCAGUCAGGAACGCGAAGUGGGUACCUUAUUAGCUCCUGGUAUUGCUCUAGUUGGGGUCUGGUCUUACCACGGAGCACUUGUAUCCUGUAAAUGUCUGUAAUGAUUGCAAAUGUCUCAUAAGUUCAAGGGAUGUUCCUACACAAUUAUGAUGGAGCAAGUGGCUGGAGCGGACCUGAUCUUUGCCUGCCACCACCCUCCACUCUCACAACCAUACUGUCAUCGGGCACUGGCUCACAGGGACAAGAGAAAAGGAAAAGAUUUUGUAGCUUAAGGUAGGAGAGGAACGAAUGCCCUUUCCAAGUCUCUGGGACUCGUGUCUAGUGGAUACAGUUGCUUUUGGGCAAAAGGCAUACUAGCAAUCCAGAGGAAUAGGAUGAAGGCAGCAACUUAGAAGUUGAUUGGUAUAAAACCAUGUUCAUUGUCAUCAGCUUCUCCUAGCUUGUCGCAAGUGUAUGCCAUAGUUUCUCAAUAAAGUGAGUGGAAUGCCAAUUGGCCCAUUUAAGUAUUAACAACAACAUACCCAGUAUAAUCGGCAUUUCAAGUAUUUUACAGGCUUGGCUCGGUCUGAAAGUAGAGCUUGCAGAAAAGCGGAUAGGAAAGGUAGCCUAUAGACUCAAGCGACCAGCUCGAUGAAAGCGAACCCCGUAUUUGAGGUGAGUCAGUUGACUUUGAUUAAAGCAGACCACCCCUAAAAUGGAAAUAUGUCAAUAUAUUACCUCAAAUGUUGAAAUAUAAGCUCUUGUGUUUGACUAACAAAUUAGAGUUUUGUGAUAUGGAAUCUACCUCAAAUGUUGAAAUAUCA
Non-coding RNA from Nicotiana tabacum (common tobacco), 1517 nucleotides. NCBI's taxonomy places the organism in Eukaryota, Viridiplantae, Streptophyta, Magnoliopsida, Solanales, Solanaceae. The record is from RefSeq and is a predicted model, not a curated record.